UCAGGACGAACGCUGGCGGCGUGCUUAACACAUGCAAGUCGAACGGUAAGGCCCUUCGGGGUACACGAGUGGCGAACGGGUGAGUAACACGUGGGUGAUCUGCCCUGCACUUCGGGAUAAGCCUGGGAAACUGGGUCUAAUACCGGAUAGGACCAUGGACUUCACGGUUUGUGGUGGAAAGCUUUUGCGGUGUGGGGAAUGGGGCCCGCGGCCUAUCAGCUUGUUGGUGGGGUAAUGGCCUACCAAGGCGACGACGGGUAGCCGGCCUGAGAGGGUGUCCGGCCACACUGGGACUGAGAUACGGCCCAGACUCCUACGGGAGGCAGCAGUGGGGAAUAUUGCACAAUGGGCGCAAGCCUGAUGCAGCGACGCCGCGUGAGGGAUGACGGCCUUCGGGUUGUAAACCUCUUUCAAUAGGGACGAAGCGCAAGUGACGGUACCUAUAGAAGAAGCACCGGCCAACUACGUG
RNAcentral lists this ribosomal RNA (469 nucleotides) under uncultured bacterium. RNAcentral describes it as "bacterial SSU rRNA". It matches the Rfam family "Bacterial small subunit ribosomal RNA", at positions 24 to 507 of the family's 1533-position model. The record is from RNAcentral.